RNAcentral lists this ribosomal RNA (621 nucleotides) under bacterium TN58B. Its description in RNAcentral is "bacterial SSU rRNA". It matches the Rfam family "Bacterial small subunit ribosomal RNA", at positions 20 to 651 of the family's 1533-position model. The record is from RNAcentral.
UGGCUGAGGAUGAACGCUGGCGGCGUGCUUAACACAUGCAAGUCGAACGAUGAUCUCCAGCUUGCUGGGGGGAUUAGUGGCGAACGGGUGAGUAACACGUGAGUAACCUGCCCUUGACUCUGGGAUAAGCCUGGGAAACUGGGUCUAAUACCGGAUAUGACCAUCUGGCGCAUGUCAUGGUGGUGGAAAGCUUUUUUGUGGUUUUGGAUGGACUCGCGGCCUAUCAGCUUGUUGGUGGGGUAAUGGCCUACCAAGGCGACGACGGGUAGCCGGCCUGAGAGGGUGACCGGCCACACUGGGACUGAGACACGGCCCAGACUCCUACGGGAGGCAGCAGUGGGGAAUAUUGCACAAUGGGCGCAAGCCUGAUGCAGCGACGCCGCGUGAGGGAUGACGGCCUUCGGGUUGUAAACCUCUUUCAGUAGGGAAGAAGCGUAAGUGACGGUACCUGCAGAAGAAGCGCCGGCUAACUACGUGCCAGCAGCCGCGGUAAUACGUAGGGCGCAAGCGUUAUCCGGAAUUAUUGGGCGUAAAGAGCUCGUAGGCGGUUUGUCGCGUCUGCUGUGAAAGACCGGGGCUCAACUCCGGUUCUGCAGUGGGUACGGGCAGACUAGAGUGCAG